AUGUAACUGCCAUAGGGAUAAGAAGCCCGGAAAGUUCUCCGAAUACAUUUCCAAUUUCCUGCUUAAUUCCCUAUCUACACCCCUGGGUAUCUGAGGCUAGUCAUCUCAACGUGGAACAUAUACGUGAUACAAGUUUCAAUCAUCCAAGAAGAGGGAACCUCAAUUGAAAACAUGUCUCUAACAUAUAAGCAACCCUGUUCCUGCUUUGAAUUCCUGCCCUGACUUCCCUUAAUAACGG
Molecule: long non-coding RNA, 238 nt
Organism: Mesocricetus auratus (golden hamster)
Lineage: Eukaryota; Metazoa; Chordata; Mammalia; Rodentia; Cricetidae
Exons: 4
Source: RefSeq, a predicted model, not a curated record